GAUGAACGCUGGCGGCGUGCCUAACACAUGCAAGUCGAGCGAAGCACUUUGCUUAGAUUCUUCGGAUGAAGAGGAUUGUGACUGAGCGGCGGACGGGUGAGUAACGCGUGGGUAACCUGCCUCAUACAGGGGGAUAACAGUUAGAAAUGACUGCUAAUACCGCAUAAGACCACAGCACCGCAUGGUGCGGGGGUAAAAACUCCGGUGGUAUGAGAUGGACCCGCGUCUGAUUAGCUAGUUGGUAAGGUAACGGCUUACCAAGGCGACGAUCAGUAGCCGACCUGAGAGGGUGACCGGCCACAUUGGGACUGAGACACGGCCCAAACUCCUACGGGAGGCAGCAGUGGGGAAUAUUGCACAAUGGGGGAAACCCUGAUGCAGCGACACCGCGUGAGCGAAGAAGUAUUUCGGUAUGUAAAGCUCUAUCAGCAGGGAAGAAAAUGACGGUACCUGACUAAGAAGCACCGGCUAAAUACGUGCCAGCAGCCGCGGUAAUACGUAUGGUGCAAGCGUUAUCCGGAUUUACUGGGUGUAAAGGGAGCGUAGACGGAUGGGCAAGUCUGAUGUGAAAACCCGGGGCUCAACCCCGGGACUGCAUUGGAAACUGUUCAUCUAGAGUGCUGGAGAGGUAAGUGGAAUUCCUAGUGUAGCGGUGAAAUGCGUAGAUAUUAGGAGGAACACCAGUGGCGAAGGCGGCUUACUGGACAGUAACUGACGUUGAGGCUCGAAAGCGUGGGGAGCAAACAGG
This 748-nucleotide ribosomal RNA is filed under the name uncultured Lachnospiraceae bacterium. RNAcentral describes it as "bacterial SSU rRNA". It matches the Rfam family "Bacterial small subunit ribosomal RNA", at positions 28 to 776 of the family's 1533-position model. Lineage: Bacteria; Bacillati; Bacillota; Clostridia; Lachnospirales; Lachnospiraceae. The record is from RNAcentral.